RNAcentral lists this ribosomal RNA (254 nucleotides) under uncultured bacterium. RNAcentral describes it as "partial 16S ribosomal RNA". It matches the Rfam family "Bacterial small subunit ribosomal RNA", at positions 524 to 776 of the family's 1533-position model. The record is from RNAcentral.
GACGAACCGUGCAAACGUUAUUCGGAAUCACUGGGCGUAAAGGGUGUGUAGGCGGUUGUUUAAGUUUGGUGUGAAAUCUCCCGGCUCAACUGGGAGGGUGCGCCGAAUACUGAAUGACUUGGAGUGCGGGAGAGGAGAGUGGAAUUCCUGGUGUAGCGGUGAAAUGCGUAGAUAUCAGGAGGAACACCGGUGGUGUAGACGGCUCUCUGGACCGUAACUGACGCUGAGACACGAAAGUGUGGGGAGCGAACAGG